GACGAACGCUGGCGGCGUGCCUAAUACAUGCAAGUAGAACGCACAGUUUAUACCGUAGCUUGCUACACCAUAGACUGUGAGUUGCAAACGGGUGAGUAACGCGUAGGUAACCUGCCUGGUAGCGGGGGAUAACUAUUGGAAACGAUAGCUAAUACCGCAUAAUAUUAAUUAUUGCAUGAUAAUUAAUUGAAAGGUGCAAUUGCACCACUACCAGAUGGACCUGCGUUGUAUUAGCUAGUAGGUGAGGUAACGGCUCACCUAGGCGACGAUACAUAGCCGACCUGAGAGGGUGAUCGGCCACACUGGGACUGAGACACGGCCCAGACUCCUACGGGAGGCAGCAGUAGGGAAUCUUCGGCAAUGGACGAAAGUCUGACCGAGCAACGCCGCGUGAGUGAAGAAGGUUUUCGGAUCGUAAAGCUCUGUUGUAAGAGAAGAACGGGUGUGAGAGUGGAAAGUUCACACUGUGACGGUAUCUUACCAGAAAGGGACGGCUAACUACGUG
RNAcentral lists this ribosomal RNA (505 nucleotides) under uncultured bacterium. Its description in RNAcentral is "partial 16S ribosomal RNA". It matches the Rfam family "Bacterial small subunit ribosomal RNA", at positions 28 to 507 of the family's 1533-position model. The record is from RNAcentral.